UGGGGAAUUUUGGACAAUGGGGGCAACCCUGAUCCAGCCAUGCCGCGUGAGUGAAGAAGGCCUUCGGGUUGUAAAGCUCUUUCGGCCGGGACGAAAUCGCACCUGUUAACACCGGGUGUGGAUGACGGUACCGGAAGAAGAAGGACCGGCUAACUACGUGCCAGCAGCCGCGGUAAUACGUAGGGUCCGAGCGUUAAUCGGAAUUACUGGGCGUAAAGCGUGCGCAGGCGGUUUUGUAAGCCAGAUGUGAAAUCCCCGGGCUUAACCUGGGAACUGCAUUUGGGACUGCAAGGCUGGAGUACGGCAGAGGGGGGUAGAAUUCCUGGUGUAGCAGUGAAAUGCGUAGAGAUCAGGAGGAAUACCGAUGGCGAAGGCAGCCCCCUGGGUCGAUACUGACGCUCAUGCACGAAAGCGUGGGGAGCAAACA
RNAcentral lists this ribosomal RNA (427 nucleotides) under uncultured bacterium. RNAcentral describes it as "bacterial SSU rRNA". It matches the Rfam family "Bacterial small subunit ribosomal RNA", at positions 355 to 774 of the family's 1533-position model. The record is from RNAcentral.